GUGAGGUGUCGGGUUAAGUCCCGCAACGAGCGCAACCCCUAUUCUCAGUUGCCAGCACAUAAUGGUGGGCACUCUGUGGAGACUGCCCGGGUUAACCGGGAGGAAGGUGGGGAUGACGUCAAGUCAUCAUGGCCCUUACGCCUAGGGCUACACACGUACUACAAUGGUCGGUACAAAGGGUUGCCAAGCCGCGAGGUGGAGCUAAUCCCAUAAAACCGAUCGUAGUCCGGAUCGCAGUCUGCAACUCGACUGCGUGAAGUCGGAAUCGCUAGUAAUCGUGAAUCAGAAUGUCACGGUGAAUACGUUCCCGGGCCUU
RNAcentral lists this ribosomal RNA (316 nucleotides) under uncultured Pseudomonas sp. RNAcentral describes it as "bacterial SSU rRNA". It matches the Rfam family "Bacterial small subunit ribosomal RNA", at positions 1067 to 1382 of the family's 1533-position model. The record is from RNAcentral. Lineage: Bacteria; Pseudomonadati; Pseudomonadota; Gammaproteobacteria; Pseudomonadales; Pseudomonadaceae.